CCAAUAAGAGACGGCACUCCAAAUUGAGAGUGAAGUAGAACUGAAGCUUUUAAUCAAACACUCUGCUUUUAUGCACAUUUUACAAACAUAGUACCGGCCACAGGGUUUUGCAGAACAACCAGUCAAUAUGUACAAUACACUCAGACACUCCCACACAAAAUCCUCCCCUCUGCCUGUGAUAUAAUUACUGAACACAAUGGGUUAAUGUAAU
Molecule: non-coding RNA, 211 nt
Organism: Pelobates cultripes (western spadefoot toad)
Lineage: Eukaryota; Metazoa; Chordata; Amphibia; Anura; Pelobatidae
Source: the annotation of a GenBank genome assembly